UACGUAGGGGGCAAGCGUUGUCCGGAUUUAUUGGGCGUAAAGAGCUCGUAGGCGGCUUGUCGCGUCGUCCGUGAAAACCUGGGGCUCAACUCCGGAUCUGCGGUGGGUACGGGCAGACUAGAGUGAUGUAGGGGAGACUGGAAUUCCUGGUGUAGCGGUGAAAUGCGCAGAUAUCAGGAGGAACACCGAUGGCGAAGGCAGGUCACUGGGCCGCAACUGACGCUGAGGAGCGAAAGCAUGGGGAGCGAACAGG
RNAcentral lists this ribosomal RNA (253 nucleotides) under uncultured bacterium. RNAcentral describes it as "partial 16S ribosomal RNA". It matches the Rfam family "Bacterial small subunit ribosomal RNA", at positions 524 to 776 of the family's 1533-position model. The record is from RNAcentral.